This is a long non-coding RNA of Mustela erminea (ermine), 2395 nucleotides long. RefSeq lists it as uncharacterized. The transcript has 5 exons. The record is from RefSeq and is a predicted model, not a curated record. Lineage: Eukaryota; Metazoa; Chordata; Mammalia; Carnivora; Mustelidae.
UUCCCAAACGAAGGCAAGAGUUGAGAGCAUGGGCAAGAAGUAGAGUCCCUUCCACUUCUAAGUGAACCUUGAGUCUUGAACUGGAGAAGGUGGCUUCCUUCAAAGGAUGUUUGAAUUGGAGCUCGUACUCAGAGAUGCCAAUAAUCCACAGCAAAUACCUAGUUCAAGGAAAGGGAAUUAAGAGGAGCGUCCCUGCCUACCCUGGCCACCCACCGGGAGACACGGUCCCCACAAGAAGUGCGCUCCAGAAAGCAGGCUAUUACAUUGAGUCUCGCUGUAGUUUUGGGAAUCCCGGAAAGGAAGAACCACCGGCAGAAUUUCUACUGCGCAUGACCAGGGCACAGCCUCCGUCUCUAAUAAGGCUGGUUUGCUCCCAGCUUCCCCGGUGUAGCCGCUGUCGUUACGUCACCGGAAAUGCCCGGAAAUCCUCGGAGUCUGGGCUGAAGGAAAUUCUGGUAGUUAGGAGAAGAAAGCCUUUUACCGCACCUCAGUUUACCGUCCGAGUUUCAUGCUCCAGGACUGAUCACUCAGAUGGCAUCUAUUUCUUUCAGGAGAAACUAUGAUCUCAACAAAGUGCAUUUGGCAGCAUAAGAGUCUACCUUGAUUUUGAAGAUGUGGAGACAGGAGUUGGCAGAAAACCUGCUCUGAAAGCAGAGACCUUUUGAGUUACUCUGGCUGCGAGUCAGAGUCCUGCAGAAAUUGAACCAGAAAAGGAACACAGAAAGAUCAUCUGGUUUGGCUGGCCCUGCGAGCCCGGAUGCCGGCCAGGGAAGAGAAUUUCAGUGCAGAAAAGAAAGAUAAAACUAAAAAAGAUGAUGAGGUUAGUAAUUUGCCUGAAAUCAUGCAGUUGAUAGAAGCAAGAAGCAGGAUUCAGAGCUACGGCUGACUUCAAAGUUUAUGUUCUUUCUGCCAUCUUGGAAUUCUCAGAGUUCAAGGUCAACAAUCUUCAUAGCAUCUUCACUGGGAGCAGAUCACAUCUCAAGAAAUCACUUUCUUUGCUCAUUUCAAAGAAGCAGCUCCUUGUCUACUCAAGCUGGAUCACAAGAUUGCAGCCACUCAGAUCUUCAGGUUCUACCUCUAAUUCUAAUUCUCCUGCUGUUCCAUCCUGUCUAUAGUCACUUACUCCACUCAAGUCUUAAGCCCCUUAAAGUCAUCCAUGCAGGUUGGAAUCAACUUUUUCCAAACUGUAAAUGUUUGAUAUUUUGCCCUCUUCCCAUGAGUCAUGAAUGUUCUUAAUGGUAUGUAGCGUGAGGAAUCCUUUCCAGCAGGUUUUCAACUUAUUUUUCCAAGAUCCAUCAGAGGAAUCAGUGUCUAUGGCAGCUGUCUAUGGCCUUAUGAAACAUAUUUCUGAAAUAAUGUGACUUGAAAGUCAAAAUGACUCCUUGACCUAAGGGCUGCAAAGUGGAUGUUGUAUUAGCAAGCAUGAAGACCACAUUAAUCUCACUGUACUUCUCCAUCAGAGCUCUGGAAUGACCAGGUUCACUGUUGAUGAGCAGUACAAUUUUGAAAAGAAUCUUUCUUUCCUGAACAUCAGUUCUCAAAAGUGAGCUUAAUCUAUUCAGUAAACCAUGUUAUAAAGAGAUGUGUUGUCACCCAGGCUUUGUAGUUCCAUUUCUAGAACACAGGCAGAGUAGAUUUAGUGUAAUUCUUAAAGGCCCCAGGAUUUUCAGAAUGGUGAGUGAGCCGUGGUUUCUACUUAAAGUCAAUUACAUUAUCCCUGACAAGAGUCAGCCUGUCCUUUGAACAUUUGAAGCCAGGCAUUGACAUCUCUCUAGCUAUGAAAGUCCUAGGUGUCAUCUUCUCCCAAUAGAAGGCAGAUUCAUGUAUAUUAAAAAUCUGUUAUUUAUCAUAGCCACCUCCAUUAAUGAUCUUAGCUAGAUCUUCUGGAUAAUUUGCUGUGACUACAUCAGCAUUUGCUGCCCCACCUUGCAUUUUUGUGUCAUGGAGAAGGCUCCUUUGCUUAAACCUCACGAACCAACCUCUGCUAGCUUCAGACUUCUCUUCUGCAGCUUCCUCACAUCUCUCAGCCUUCAUGGAAUUGAAGAAGGUCAGGACACUCCAACUGAUGAGGCUUUGGCUUAAGGGAAUAUUGUGGCUGGUUUGAUCUUCUCUCCAGGCCACUCAGACUUGCUCCAUAUCAGCAAUAAGGCUGUUUCCCCUUUCUUACCAUUCAUAUGCUUCACUAGAGUAGCAUUUUUAAUUUCCUUCAAGAGCUUUCUCUUUGCGUUCACAACUUGGCUAACUGUUUUGCUCAAGAGACCUAGUUUCUGGCCUAUCUCAGCUUCUGACAUGCCUUCCUCACUAGGUUUAAUAAUUUCUAGCUUUUGAUUUAAAGUGGAGAUAUGAGACUCUUCCUUUUCAGUGAACACUUAGAGGCCACUGUAGGGUUAUUAAC